This 1030-nucleotide ribosomal RNA is filed under the name Polyporales sp. 1 SR-2012. RNAcentral's name for it is "eukaryotic LSU rRNA". The stretch from base 741 to 1030 matches the Rfam family "Eukaryotic large subunit ribosomal RNA", at positions 1 to 284 of the family's 3401-position model. Lineage: Eukaryota; Fungi; Basidiomycota; Agaricomycetes; Polyporales. The record is from RNAcentral.
UUAAGUCCUGCCCUUUGUACACACCGCCCGUCGCUACUACCGAUUGAAUGGCUUAGUGAGGUCUUGAGAUUGGCGACAGGGAGCCGGCAACGGCACCCUGUUGCUGAGAACUUGAUCAAACUUGGUCAUUUAGAGGAAGUAAAAGUCGUAACAAGGUUUCCGUAGGUGAACCUGCGGAAGGAUCAUUAUCGAGUUUUGAACGGGUUGUAGCUGGCCUUUAACGAGGCAUGUGCACACCUGGCUCAUCCACUCUCAACCUCUGUGCACUUUAUGUAAGAAACGGUGUAAGCCAGCUAUUUAAUAGUUGGUAACAAGCCUUUCUUAUGUUUACUACAAACGCUUCAGUUAUAGAAUGUUUACUGUGUAUAACACAAUUAUAUACAACUUUCAGCAACGGAUCUCUUGGCUCUCGCAUCGAUGAAGAACGCAGCGAAAUGCGAUAAGUAAUGUGAAUUGCAGAAUUCAGUGAAUCAUCGAAUCUUUGAACGCACCUUGCACUCCUUGGUAUUCCGAGGAGUAUGCCUGUUUGAGUCUCAUGGAAUUCUCAACCCCUAAAUUUUGUAAUGAAGUUUAGUGGGCUUGGACUUGGAGGUUGUGUCGGCUUCUAGUCGACUCCUCUGAAAUGCAUUAGCGUGAAUCUUACGGAUCGCCUUCAGUGUGAUAAUUAUCUGCGCUGUGGUGUUGAAGUAUUUAUUAGUUCAUGCUUAUAGUCGUCUCUUACCGAGACAAUUUAGACAAUCUGAGCUCAAAUCAGGUAGGACUACCCGCUGAACUUAAGCAUAUCAAUAAGCGGAGGAAAAGAAACUAACAAGGAUUCCCCUAGUAACUGCGAGUGAAGCGGGAAAAGCUCAAAUUUAAAAUCUGGCGGCUUUGGUCGUCCGAGUUGUAUCCUAGAGAAGUGUUUUCCGCGUUGGACCGUGUAUAAGUCUCUUGGAACAGAGCGUCAUAGAGGGUGAGAAUCCCGUCUUUGACACGGACUACCAAUGCUUUGUGAUACACUCUCAAAGAGUCGAGUUGUUUGGGGAAUGCA